AUACUUACCUGACGAGGACCAUACUGGGAUCAGGCAGCCAGUGGGUCCAGGGCGAGGCUUUGCCAUUGCACAUCGGCUUAGCUGACCCUUGCGAUUACCCCAAAUGUGGGUAACUCGGUCGUAUAAUUUCUGGUAGUGGGGGGACCUGCCGCUUCCGUAUUCAUCCCCGU
Molecule: non-coding RNA, 170 nt
Organism: Ciona savignyi (Pacific transparent sea squirt)
Lineage: Eukaryota; Metazoa; Chordata; Ascidiacea; Phlebobranchia; Cionidae
Source: Rfam